Molecule: ribosomal RNA, 427 nt
Filed under: uncultured bacterium
Lineage: Bacteria
Description: bacterial SSU rRNA
Rfam family: Bacterial small subunit ribosomal RNA
Source: RNAcentral
UCGAGAAUUUUUCACAAUGGGGGAAACCCUGAUGGAGCGACGCCGCGUGGGGGAUGAAUGGCUUCGGCCCGUAAACCCCUGUCAUUUGCGAGCAAAGCGCAUUAUUUAAAAGAUGAUGUGUUGAUAGUAGCGGAAGAGGAAGGGACGGCUAACUCUGUGCCAGCAGCCGCGGUAAUACAGAGGUCCCGAGCGUUGUUCGGAUUUACUGGGCGUAAAGGGUGCGUAGGUGGUGAGGUGUGUCGGAUGUGAAAUCUCGGAGCUCAACUGCGAAACUGCAUUGGAAACUACCUUGCUGGAGGGUUGGAGGGGGGACUGGAAUACUUGGUGUAGCAGUGAAAUGCGUAAAUAUCAAGUGGAACACCAGUGGCGAAAGCGAGUCCCUGGACAACUCCUGACACUGAGGCACGAAAGCUAGGGGAGCAAACAG